ACUCCUACGGGAGGCAGCAGUAGGGAAUCUUCGGCAAUGGACGAAAGUCUGACCGAGCAACGCCGCGUGAGUGAAGAAGGUUUUCGGAUCGUAAAACCUCUGUUGUUAGAGAAGAACAAGGAUGAGAGUAACUGUUCAUCCCUUGACGGUAUCUAACCAGAAAGCCACGC
Molecule: ribosomal RNA, 170 nt
Filed under: Enterococcus hirae
Lineage: Bacteria; Bacillati; Bacillota; Bacilli; Lactobacillales; Enterococcaceae
Description: partial 16S ribosomal RNA
Rfam family: Bacterial small subunit ribosomal RNA
Source: RNAcentral